CCCUCCCUUAAAUUGAGGGGAAAUCCUGGAGAAACGCCUUGCACACUCAGAAACAAACAAGAGAGAUGGUCACGGUGGCCAAGUCUGCAGUUCACCUCUGUGGCCACUUCCCUCUGGAUGAAGCCCUCAGCCAUGGUCUCCUCUUCACGAGAUUAUAAGGAAAGAUAAUUCAGAUGGAAAUCUUUUUUACCCAGACUGCUGGAAAUGCAAUGAUUGUUACUACAAGGAUUGAAGGCGAUGGGCUGGAAACACGCACCCAGCUCAGACCCUGCCUUCAGUCGGUGCCGGAAUCCUUCCUUGACCCCAGCCUCACCGUGAGACACCGGGCCCUUCACUCAAAAAGGGCUCCGUCGGUCAGCACCUUGGCGGCCCACUACCCACCGUCCACCUGGUGGAGGUUGAGAGGCAGACACAGGCACUGGACAUUGAUGGAGAAGUGAGGGAAGGUGAGCAAUAGGCUAGACUGCAUGUGGACCCCGAUGACAUGGCACUUUGUUUCUGACCAGUCAGGACACACAAGAGGCCCGGCGCAAACAUAACAAAGCCCGCAGACAUUCUGUCCCCACGAAGAACAGACGCCACUCCACUUCCUAGCAUCUUGACGGGCUAUCCGAGCGCGGAGUCAGUU
Molecule: long non-coding RNA, 628 nt
Organism: Gorilla gorilla gorilla (western lowland gorilla)
Lineage: Eukaryota; Metazoa; Chordata; Mammalia; Primates; Hominidae
Exons: 3
Source: RefSeq, a predicted model, not a curated record